Molecule: ribosomal RNA, 468 nt
Filed under: uncultured bacterium
Lineage: Bacteria
Description: partial 16S ribosomal RNA
Rfam family: Bacterial small subunit ribosomal RNA
Source: RNAcentral
GACGAACGCUGGCGGCGUGCUUAACACAUGCAAGUCGAACGGAAAGGCCCUGCUUUUGUGGGGUGCUCGAGUGGCGAACGGGUGAGUAACACGUGAGUAACCUGCCCUUGACUUUGGGAUAACUUCAGGAAACUGGGGCUAAUACCGGAUAGGAGCUCCUGCUGCAUGGUGGGGGUUGGAAAGUUUCGGCGGUUGGGGAUGGACUCGCGGCUUAUCAGCUUGUUGGGGGGGAAGUGGCUUACCAAGGCUUUGACGGGUAGCCGGCCUGAGAGGGUGACCGGCCACAUUGGGACUGAGAUACGCCCCAGACUCCUACGGGAGGCAGCAGGGGGGAAUAUUGCACAAUGGGCGGAAGCCUGAUGCAGCAACGCCGCGUGCGGGAUGACGGCCUUCGGGUUGUAACCCGCUUUCGCCUGUGACGAAGCGUGAGUGACGGUAAUGGGUAAAGAAGCACCGGCUAACUACGUG